GACCUUUUGUCUAUUUAUUUAAGGUCUGACCUGCCCAAUGAGGAAUUGAAUGGCCGCAGUAUUUUAACUGUGCUAAGGUAGCAUAAUCAUUUGUCUUUUAAUUGAGGGCUGGAAUGAAAGGUUGGACGAGGUAUUUACUUUCUUUAAUUUAAUUGGAAUAAUUUAAUUUUUGAGUCAAAAAGCUUAAAUUUAUUUAUUGGACGAGAAGACCCUGUAGAUCUUUAUAAUUUUAUAUUUCAAUAAUUUAGGGUUUAAUUUAUUUGGAGUUGAAUAAUUGUUUGAUUGGGGUGAUUGUAGAAUUUAAAUAACUUCUAUUUUUUGGAUUUCAUUAAUUUAUGUAUUUAUGAUCCAUAUAUUUGUGAUUAAAAGAUUAAGUUACCUCAGGGAUAACAGCGUAAUUUCCCCGGAGAGUUCAUAUUGAUGGGGGAGUUUGCGACCUCGAUGUUGGAUUAAAAUAAGUUAUGGAUGCAGUAGUUCAUAUACUAGGUCUGUUCGACCUUUAAAUUUUU
RNAcentral lists this ribosomal RNA (509 nucleotides) under Mepraia spinolai. RNAcentral's name for it is "partial 16S ribosomal RNA". It matches the Rfam family "Bacterial large subunit ribosomal RNA", at positions 1830 to 2597 of the family's 2925-position model. The record is from RNAcentral. Lineage: Eukaryota; Metazoa; Arthropoda; Insecta; Hemiptera; Reduviidae.